RNAcentral lists this ribosomal RNA (425 nucleotides) under uncultured bacterium. RNAcentral describes it as "partial 16S ribosomal RNA". It matches the Rfam family "Bacterial small subunit ribosomal RNA", at positions 354 to 796 of the family's 1533-position model. The record is from RNAcentral.
GUGGGGAAUCUUGCGCAAUGGGCGAAAGCCUGACGCAGCCAUGCCGCGUGGAUGAUGAAGGUCUUAGGAUUGUAAAAUCCUUUCACAGGUGAAGAUAAUGACUGUAGCCGGAGAAGAAGCCCCGGCUAACUUCGUGCCAGCAGCCGCGGUAAUACGAAGGGGGCUAGCGUUGCUCGGAUUUACUGGGCGUAAAGGGCGCGUAGGCGGACAUUUAAGUCAGGGGUGAAAUCCCGGGGCUCAACCUCGGAACUGCCUUUGAUCCUGGAUGUCUUGAGUACGGGAGAGGUGUGUGGAACUCCGAGUGUAGAGGUGAAAUUCGUAGAUAUUCGGAAGAACACCAGUGGCGAAGGCGACUCACUGACCCGUUACUGACGCUGAGGCGCGAAAGCGUGGGGAGCAAACAGGAUUAGAUACCCGUGUAGUCC